This 130-nucleotide ribosomal RNA is filed under the name Escherichia coli. RNAcentral describes it as "partial 23S ribosomal RNA". It matches the Rfam family "Bacterial large subunit ribosomal RNA", at positions 1 to 129 of the family's 2925-position model. The record is from RNAcentral. RNAcentral also lists the same sequence under 1 other name. Lineage: Bacteria; Pseudomonadati; Pseudomonadota; Gammaproteobacteria; Enterobacterales; Enterobacteriaceae.
GGUUAAGCGACUAAGCGUACACGGUGGAUGCCCUGGCAGUCAGAGGCGAUGAAGGACGUGCUAAUCUGCGAUAAGCGUCGGUAAGGUGAUAUGAACCGUUAUAACCGGCGAUUUCCGAAUGGGGAAACCC